GAACAUUUGAGGCCUUUUUUUAAAGUAUUAGGAGCCACUUGAAAGAUGACCAACAGUAUUUGGACUUAAACUAAUGAUUAUAUUAAUUAUCAAAUAAUCUGCUGACUGUAUAAUGUGUAUUAAUCAAAUUAUUGUGCAUAAAAGACAGAAAGUAGUGUGUUAUAUUUCAGCAGAGCCUAUUGUGGGGUCAACGCAUGUCCUGUUUUAUCUGCCAAAAACCCACAAAUGUUCCGUUUUCAGUGAUUAAAAAAAAAAAAAAGCUGCAAAUCUUUACAUAGGAGAAGCUAGAAGCAGAGAGUGUUUAGCAUUUUUAGCAAGUUUUGCAUAUUUGUGCUCCAGCUACCCAGAUUUACAUAUUUGCUGUUGAGAAAUACUGUUCAGUUGUGGCUCAACAGCAUCUUCCAACUGUAGUAAAAAGUUUUGAAGCGACAAAAACUGUGUGAAAACCUUCAGACUCCAGACUGAGCUUUCCUGUGGAUGUAAAAAUGCCUUGUAACCUUGAGAUAAUCCAUUUUCACAUGAACUCUGUCAUAAAUCUAAAGUUCAUCAAAUGUUUACAUCCCUGAACGUGCAGGGAGCGAUUUAACUCUAGCUUGACGUUGUGCCCCAGCAGGUUGGCUCAGGAAGAAACAAAACAAAACAAAAUCCAGAUCAAUUUAACGUGAAAUAAAAAGUCAGAAAAACUCAAUUUCAGUCACACUUGUGCACUUGUUUUCAGAUAGUAAAAGAAAUUGUGGCAAAUUAAGUCCCCGCACUUCAGGUAACAAGCGUUAGUGAAUGUGGUCUCUCUCUGUUGAAGAGUUUUGAGUUGGUUUUACUGAACAGUGUUUAUUAGUAUUAGUCUGUUUUAAUUUUUCUUGUUUGUUUGUUUUUAAUGUGUGUCCUCUGUAUGUUUUUGUCAACAAUGGCAGUAUUAGAACCCUUUUCACAGAUUAAAAAAAAUAUACCUGUUUAGUUUCUAGAAGACUUUUUUAUAUUUAUGUGUCUUAUUUUUAUAUUUUCUUUUAUGGUUAUUUAUUACACAUUGUAGUGUACAUUACUGUAGUUUGAAUUGAUACAAUAAUAUAUUUUAGUAUGAAAAAUAAUCUCAAGACAAACAAAAAUUCCCAAAAUGUGGUUCUGGGAGAUGGAGUUUGUUUUAACAAAAAAGGAAAAAAAAAAAGAAAGAAAAAGUGAUAAAACAUGUAUUCUGUAAACUUGACUUAUGUUUUAAGCUACAAAAAAAGAAAAAAAAGGCAGGAAUGAAGUGAGAAAUAGAAACUGUUACAUGUGCAUCUGCUCUUUGCGUCAUUGUAAAGCUACUGAAUUCUAAAACUCUGUGAUUUUUAAAGCAUGAGUCGUCACCGUUUUAAUGAAGGAUCUUGUUAUGAAGACGUUACUCCUCCCGUUUUAUUUUGAAGCCAAAUUUUACAUCGUCCCGCUACCCAGUUUUCUGUUCUGUGCCAACUUGUUCCAUUGUACUGUUGAAGGUUUGCAUAAUGUUUGUCCCCCGACACGCCCCUUUGUAAAUCCACUGUCUUUUUGUAUUGUUUUUAUUUUAGGUUUGCUCCAUUUUUAUGACUCCCCAUCACAAUAAAAUGUAAGACAGCAGCUCUGAGUGACCUGAUUUUUACUUUUUAACUUCUUGUUUUGUCUGUCUACGAGAAUAAAAAGUGUUUUUGCAUGUUAGUUUGGC
Molecule: long non-coding RNA, 1675 nt
Organism: Amphiprion ocellaris (clown anemonefish)
Lineage: Eukaryota; Metazoa; Chordata; Actinopteri; Pomacentridae
Source: Ensembl